This 425-nucleotide ribosomal RNA is filed under the name uncultured bacterium. Its description in RNAcentral is "bacterial SSU rRNA". It matches the Rfam family "Bacterial small subunit ribosomal RNA", at positions 356 to 773 of the family's 1533-position model. The record is from RNAcentral.
AGGGAAUCUUCCGCAAUGGACGAAAGUCUGACGGAGCAACGCCGCGUGAGUGAUGAAGGUUUUCGGAUCGUAAAACUCUGUUGUUAGGGAAGAACAAGUACGAGAGUAACUGCUCGUACCUUGACGGUACCUAACCAGAAAGCCACGGCUAACUACGUGCCAGCAGCCGCGGUAAUACGUAGGUGGCAAGCGUUGUCCGGAAUUAUUGGGCGUAAAGCGCGCGCAGGCGGUCUUUUAAGUCAGAUGUGAAAGCCCACGGCUCAACCGUGGAGGGUCAUUGGAAACUGGGAGACUUGAGUGCAGAAGAGAAGAGUGGAAUUCCAUGUGUAGCGGUGAAAUGCGUAGAGAUAUGGAGGAACACCAGUGGCGAAGGCGACUCUUUGGUCUGUAACUGACGCUGAGGCGCGAAAGCGUGGGGAGCAAAC